Molecule: long non-coding RNA, 787 nt
Filed under: Numida meleagris (helmeted guineafowl)
Lineage: Eukaryota; Metazoa; Chordata; Aves; Galliformes; Numididae
Description: lncRNA (ENSNMEG00000001158.1)
Source: RNAcentral
UGGGGGUUAGGGAAGGGGUUUAUAGGGGGGUUGUGGGGCAUUUGGGGGGCACGAGGGAUGUGGGUCAGUGGGUCACAGGGACUUAGGGGUACGUGGGGGGGUUAUGGGGACUAUAUGAAGGGGAUGUGGGGCAAUGCGUCAGUGGGACUCGGGGCUGUUUUGGGGACACUUAGGGGGCUUGGUAGGGGUGUGGGUUGUGGGGACCUGGGGCCAUUUGGGGGACGUUGAAUGGGGUUUAUGGGGGGUGCGGGUCAGCAGAGACCCACAGAGAGGGAUCCCUGGGGAGCUGUGGGGCUGAGAGUGCGUUCUGCAGGGGGUUCCCCAGGGGAUGUGGGGGGAUCUGUGGGGCUGUCUAGGGGUUCCCUGGGGAUCUAUGGGGUUGUGUAUGGGUUCUUUGUGGAUCUAUGGGGCUGUGUAGGGGUUCCUGUGGAUCUAUGGGGCAGCUGUGGGGCUGUGUAGGGAUUCCCUAGUGGGUUCCCUGAGGAUCUGUGGGGCAGCUGUGGGGCUGUGCAGGGGUUCCCUGAGGAUCUAUGGGGCAGCUACGGGGCUGUGUGUGGGUUCCCUGAGGAUCUAUGGGGCAGCUGUGGGGUUGUGUAGGGGUUCCUGGGGAUCUAUGGGGCUGUGUAGGGUUUUCGUAGUGGGUUCCCUGAGGAUCUCUGGGGCGGCUAUGGGGCUGUGUAGGGGUUUUGUAGUGGGUUCCCUGAAGAUCUGUGGGGCAGCUAUGGGGCUGUGUUAAGGGUUCCCUGUGGAUCUAUGGGGCAGCUAUGGGGCUUUGUAGGGGUUUCGU